AGGGUUAGGUGUAGGGUUAAGGGUUGGGGUAGGGUUAGUGUCUGGGUUAGGGGUAAGGAUAGUGGUUGGAGUAGGGUUAGGAUUAAGGGUAGGGAUAGGGCAGGGUUUGGGUUACCCAACCCUACCCCUAACCCUAAUCUAACCCUACCUCUAACCUUAUCCCUAUCCCUACCUACUCCUAACCCUACCCUUAACCCUAACCCUACCUACCCUUAACCCUACCCUACCCUACCCUUAACCCUACCCUACCCUACCCUUAACCCUACCCCCUACCUU
Non-coding RNA from Pelobates cultripes (western spadefoot toad), 276 nucleotides. The record is from the annotation of a GenBank genome assembly. NCBI's taxonomy places the organism in Eukaryota, Metazoa, Chordata, Amphibia, Anura, Pelobatidae.